UUUCAAUAGAGGCAAUAGAGGGUUCAAAAAGGAAAAGUUAAUGAUAUUGUGAACUGAUUUUAUGAUGAUGUCAUUUUAUUGAUUGGAUGAAGAAAUGAGUUUCUUAGAAACAUUAAAAUGCAGUGAAAGUUAUUCUCAAAAUUAUUUUUUAGGCAAUGACUAUGAAAUUAUAAAUAUAUAUCUUAUAAAUUUUUAACUAAGUUCUUGAAAUUUGUUUACAGUUGUCCAAGAGCACAAUGCGUAUGCUCUUAAUGUUUGGCGUCGUGUGAAAGUUAAACUAGAAGGGAGGGACCUUGAGCCCUCGAGAAGAGCGUCAGUGGCGGAACAGGUGGACUACACCAUCAGGGAAGCCACAAACUUGGAUAACUUGGCAACCUUGUACGAAGGAUGGACACCAUGGGUGUAAAGAACCAAGAAAAGAAUACUAUUUUGAAAUAUUUUGUUGUCGCCCAUGUCUUCAGUGUACAAUUAUGACUAAUUUGGUACCAUCACUUUUUCUUCUGCCUGGUGAUUCAAUUCUCACUUACUCUGUGAUACUUUGAAUGUGAAAGCAGAUUUCCUAAAUGUCUAAUGCACUGUGUUGUUCAUUAGAAUUGUUACAUUGCCCAAUUCAUAUAUAAUUAAUAAAUAUAUGGUCUAUUCCUUGCAUUUAUAGUUUGUUUACAUAUUAAUUGUGUAUUAAUUCAAAUGAAAAUUUUAUUUUAAAUAUAAUAUGCUUUGUCACAUCA
This 728-nucleotide long non-coding RNA is filed under the name Penaeus japonicus. Its description in RNAcentral is "uncharacterized LOC122250175". The record is from RNAcentral. Lineage: Eukaryota; Metazoa; Arthropoda; Malacostraca; Decapoda; Penaeidae.